CCUACGGGUGGCUGCAGUGGGGAAUAUUGCACAAUGGGGGAAACCCUGAUGCAGCGACGCCGCGUGAGUGAAGACGUAUCUCGGUAUUUAAAGCCCCAUUAGCCGGGAAGAAAAUGACGGUACCUGACUAAGAAGCCCCGGCUAACUACGUGCCAGCAGCCGCGGGUAUACGUCGGGGGCCAGCGUUAUACGGGUUUACUGGGGGGAAAGGGAGCGUUGGCGGGAGCGCAAGUCUGGAGUGCAAGUCCGCCGCCCAACUACGGGACUGCUAUGGAAACUGCCCGUCUAGAGUGCAGGAGAGGUAAGCGGAAUUCCUGGUGUAGCGGUGAAAUGCGUAGAUAUUAGGAGGAACACCAGUGGCGAAGGCGGCUUGCUGGACAGUAACUGACGUUGAGGCUCGAAAGCGUGGGGAGCAAACAGGAUUAGAUACCCUUGUAGUC
RNAcentral lists this ribosomal RNA (440 nucleotides) under uncultured bacterium. RNAcentral describes it as "partial 16S ribosomal RNA". It matches the Rfam family "Bacterial small subunit ribosomal RNA", at positions 338 to 795 of the family's 1533-position model. The record is from RNAcentral.